CGCAAGCCUGACGGAGCAAGACCGCGUGGGGGAGGAAAGCCUUUGGGUUGUAAACCCCUUUUCUCAGGGAAGAAGAAAGUGACGGUACCUGAGGAAUCAGCAUCGGCUAACUCCGUGCCAGCAGCCGCGGUAAUACGGAGGAGGCAAGCGUUAUCCGGAAUGAUUGGGCGUAAAGCGUUCGUAGGUGGCAAUUCAAGUCUGCUGUCAAAGACUGGGGCUUAACUCCGGGCAGGCAGUGGAAACUGACAGGCUAGAGUGCAGGAGGGGUAGAGGGAAUUCCCGGUGUAGCGGUGAAAUGCGUAGAUGUCGGGAAGAACAUCGGUGGCGAAAGCGCUCUGCUGGGCCGCAACUGACACUGAGGGACGAAAGCUAGGGGAGCG
This 380-nucleotide ribosomal RNA is filed under the name uncultured cyanobacterium. Its description in RNAcentral is "bacterial SSU rRNA". It matches the Rfam family "Bacterial small subunit ribosomal RNA", at positions 376 to 770 of the family's 1533-position model. The record is from RNAcentral. Lineage: Bacteria; Bacillati; Cyanobacteriota.